GAAGUGAACUGGAUAGCCGCCGGUAGUUGCUUUUUCGGAAGCAAUUGCGGGAGGAAAGUCCGGGCUCUGUAGGACAAGGUGGUCGGUAACGCCGACCGGUCGUGAGAUUAGGGAAAGUGCAACAGAAAAUAUACCGCCUAAGUCCCUUCGGGGAACGGUAAGGUUGAAAUGGUGCGGUAAGAGCGCACCGCGGGUAAGGUGACUUGCCUGGCAUGGUAAACCCCACCUAGAGCAAGGCAAACAGGCAGGAAAUCGGUCUUCGGACCGGUUGCGAACUUGUCCGGUUCGCUAGUUACUGCCGGGUUCGCUGCUUGAGUCGACGAGCAAUUUUCGACCUAGAGGAAUGGCUAUCGCUGUCGCCUUGUGUGACAGUACAAAACCCGGCUUAUAGGUUCACUUCGGCG
Molecule: RNase P RNA, 404 nt
Filed under: Blastopirellula sp.
Lineage: Bacteria; Pseudomonadati; Planctomycetota; Planctomycetia; Pirellulales; Pirellulaceae
Description: RNase P RNA component class A
Rfam family: Bacterial RNase P class A
About the family: Ribonuclease P (RNase P) is a ubiquitous endoribonuclease, found in archaea, bacteria and eukarya as well as chloroplasts and mitochondria. Its best characterised activity is the generation of mature 5'-ends of tRNAs by cleaving the 5'-leader elements of precursor-tRNAs. Cellular RNase Ps are ribonucleoproteins.
Source: RNAcentral